RNAcentral lists this ribosomal RNA (377 nucleotides) under uncultured bacterium. Its description in RNAcentral is "bacterial SSU rRNA". It matches the Rfam family "Bacterial small subunit ribosomal RNA", at positions 521 to 896 of the family's 1533-position model. The record is from RNAcentral.
UAAGACAGAGGUGCCGAGCGUUAGGCGGAAUCACUGGGCUUAAAGCGUGUGUAGGCGGAUACCUAAGUACCUUGUGAAAUCCCACGGCUCAACCGUGGAACUGCUUGGUAUACUGGGCGUCUUGAGCCACUUAGGGGCAAGCGGAACAAAUGGUGGAGCGGUGAAAUGCGUAGAUAUCAUUUGGAACGCCAAUGGUGAAAACAGCUUGCUGGGAGUGUGCUGACGCUGAGACACGAAAGCCAGGGGAGCGAACGGGAUUAGAUACCCCGGUAGUCCUGGCCGUAAACGAUGUCGACUAGAUCGUGGCGCCUCUGACGGUGUCACGGUCGAAGCAAAAGUGCUAAGUCGACCGCCUGGGAAGUACGGUCGCAAGGCUA